RNAcentral lists this ribosomal RNA (468 nucleotides) under uncultured bacterium. RNAcentral describes it as "partial 16S ribosomal RNA". It matches the Rfam family "Bacterial small subunit ribosomal RNA", at positions 28 to 507 of the family's 1533-position model. The record is from RNAcentral.
GACGAACGCUGGCGGCGUGCUUAACACAUGCAAGUCGAACGGAAAGGCCCUGCUUUUGUGGGGUGCUCGAGUGGCGAACGGGUGAGUAACACGUGAGUAACCUGCCCUUGACUUUGGGAUAACUUCAGGAAACUGGGGCUAAUACCGGAUAGGAGCUCCUGCUGCAUGGUGGGGGUUGGAAAGUUUCGGCGGUUGGGGAUGGACUCGCGGCUUAUCAGCUUGUUGGUGGGGUAGUGGCUUACCAAGGCUUUGACGGGUAGCCGGCCUGAGAGGGUGACCGGCCACAUUGGGAAUGAGAUACGGGCCAGACUCCUAAGGGAGGCAGAAGGGGGGAAUAUUGCACAAUGGGCGGAAGCCUGAUGCAGCAACGCCGCGUGCGGGAUGAAGGCCUUCGGGUUGUAAACUGCUUUCGCCUGUGACGAAGCGUGAGUGACGGUAAUGGGUAAAGAAGCACCGGCUAACUACGUG